GACGAACGCUGGCGGCGUGCCUAAUACAUGCAAGUAGAACGCACAGUUUAUACCGUAGCUUGCUACACCAUAAACUGUGAGUUGCGAACGGGUGAGUAACGCGUAGGUAACCUGCCUGGUAGCGGGGGAUAACUAUUGGAAACGAUAGCUAAUACCGCAUAAUAUUAAUUAUUGCAUGAUAAUUGAUUGAAAGAUGCAAUUGCAUCACUACCAGAUGGACCUGCGUUGUAUUAGCUAGUAGGUGAGGUAACGGCUCACCUAGGCGACGAUACAUAGCCGACCUGAGAGGGUGAUCGGCCACACUGGGACUGAGACACGGCCCAGACUCCUACGGGAGGCAACAGUAGGGAAUCUUCGGCAAUGGACGAAAGUCUGACCGAGCAACGCCGCGUGAGUGAAGAAGGUUUUCGGAUCGUAAAGCUCUGUUGUAAGAGAAGAACGGGUGUGAGAGUGGAAAGUUCACACUGUGACGGUAUCUUACCAGAAAGGGACGGCUAACUACGUG
RNAcentral lists this ribosomal RNA (505 nucleotides) under uncultured bacterium. RNAcentral describes it as "partial 16S ribosomal RNA". It matches the Rfam family "Bacterial small subunit ribosomal RNA", at positions 28 to 507 of the family's 1533-position model. The record is from RNAcentral.